GAUGAACGCUAGCUAUAGGCUUAACACAUGCAAGUCGAGGGGAAACGGCAUUAUGUGCUUGCACAUUUUGGACGUCGACCGGCGCACGGGUGAGUAUCGCGUAUCCAACCUUCCCUCCACUCGGGGAUACCCCGUUGAAAGACGGCCUAAUACCCGAUGUUGUCCACAGAUGGCAUCUGACGUGGACCAAAGAUUCAUCGGUGGAGGAUGGGGAUGCGUCUGAUUAGCUUGUUGGUGCAGGUAACGGCCCACCAAGGCUACGAUCAGUAGGGGUUCUGAGAGGAAGGUCCCCCACAUUGGAACUGAGACACGGUCCAAACUCCUACGGGAGGCAGCAGUGAGGAAUAUUGGUCAAUGGACGGAGGUCUGAACCAGCCAAGUAGCGUGCAGGAUUGACGGCCCUAUGGGUUGUAAACUGCUUUUGUUGGGGAGUAAAGUGGGGCACGCGUGCCUUUUUGCAUUUACCCUUCGAAUAAGGACCGGCUAAUUCCGUGCCAGCAGCCGCGGUAAUACGGAAGGUCCAGGCGUUAUCCGGAUUUAUUGGGUUUAAAGGGAGUGUAGGCGGUCUGUUAAGCGUGUUGUGAAAUUUAGGUGCUCAACAUCUACCUUGCAGCGCGAACUGGCGGACUUGAGUGCACGCAACGUAUGCGGAAUUCAUGGUGUAGCGGUGAAAUGCUUAGAUAUCAUGACGAACUCCGAUUGCGAAGGCAGCGUACGGGAGUGUUACUGACGCUUAAGCUCGAAGGUGCGGGUAUCGAACAGG
RNAcentral lists this ribosomal RNA (763 nucleotides) under uncultured Prevotella sp. RNAcentral's name for it is "bacterial SSU rRNA". It matches the Rfam family "Bacterial small subunit ribosomal RNA", at positions 28 to 776 of the family's 1533-position model. The record is from RNAcentral. Lineage: Bacteria; Pseudomonadati; Bacteroidota; Bacteroidia; Bacteroidales; Prevotellaceae.